Molecule: unclassified non-coding RNA, 219 nt
Filed under: Amaurodon mustialaensis
Lineage: Eukaryota; Fungi; Basidiomycota; Agaricomycetes; Thelephorales; Thelephoraceae
Description: partial internal transcribed spacer 2
Source: RNAcentral
AAUUCUCAACUGCACUGGGUUUCUUCGACCUGGUGUGAAGUUGGACUUGGAGGAUAAUUGCUGGCGCACUCCCUCGGGAGGGCUUGUCGGCUCCUCUUGAAUGCAUGAGCUUUCCAGAUCGGUCAGCGACUCCGAUGUGAUAAAUAUCUACGUCGGUCGGUCCUUCCAAUCAAAGCUUCACCACUCGCUGACGCCUCGUGCGCCCUGCGACUUUGACAA